Molecule: ribosomal RNA, 434 nt
Filed under: uncultured bacterium
Lineage: Bacteria
Description: partial 16S ribosomal RNA
Rfam family: Bacterial small subunit ribosomal RNA
Source: RNAcentral
AGCGAACGCUGGCGGCAGGCCUAACACAUGCCAGUCGAACGAACCUUUCGGGGUUAGUGGCGGACGGGUGAGUAACACGUGGGAACGUGCCUUUAGGUUCGGAAUAACUCAGGGAAACUUGUGCUAAUACCGAAUGUGCCCUUCGGGGGAAAGAUUAAUCGCCUUUAGAGCGGCCCGCGUCUGAUUAGCUAGUUGGUUGAGGUAAUGGCUCACCAAGGCGACGAUCAGUAGCUGGUCUGAGAGGAUGAUCAGCCACAUUGGGACUGAGACACGGCCCAAACUCCUACGGGAGGCAGCAGUGGGGAAUCUUGCGAAAUGGGCGAAAGCCUGACGCAGCCAUGCCGCGUGAAUGAUGAAGGUAUUAGGAUUGUAAAAUUCUUUCACCGGGGACGAUAAUGACGGUACCCGGAGAAGAAGCCCCGGCUAACUUCGUG